AGUUUGAUCCUGGCUCAGGACGAACGCUGGCGGCAUGCCUAACACAUGCAAGUCGAACGAGAAAGUCACUUCGGUGGCGAUUAAAGUGGCGCACGGGUGAGUAACGCGUAGACAAUCUGCCCUUCAGUCUGGGACAACUUUUCGAAAGGAGAGCUAAUACCGGAUAACAAUGCAUUACAUAAGUAAAGUAUUUGAAAGCUUUAUGUGCUGAAGGAGGGGUCUGCGUCCCAUUAGCUAGUUGGUAAGGUAAAGGCUUACCAAGGCAACGAUGGGUAGCGGGUUUGAGAGGACGAUCCGCCACACUGGAACUGAGACACGGUCCAGACUCCUACGGGAGGCAGCAGUGGGGAAUAUUGCACAAUGGAGGAAACUCUGAUGCAGCAAUGUCGCGUGAGUGAAGAAGGCCCUUGGGUCGUAAAGCUCUUUUAUGGGGGAAGAUGAUGACGGUACCCCAAGAAUAAGCACCGGCUAACUAUGUGCCAGCAGCCGCGGUAAUACAUAGGGUGCGAGCGUUGUUCGGAAUUACUGGGCGUAAAGGGCGCGCAGGCGGAAUAGUAAGUCGGAGGUGAAAGCCCGGGGCUCAACCCCGGAGGGUCUUUCGAAACUGCUAAUCUAGAGAGGGUCAGGGGCCGGCAGAAUUCCUGGUGUAGAGGUGAAAUUCGUAGAUAUCAGGAGGAAUACCGGUGGCGAAGGCGGCCGGCUGGGGCCACUCUGACGCUGAGGCGCGAAAGCGUGGGGAGCAAACAGGAUUAGAUACCCUGGUAGUCCACGCCGUAAACGAUGAGCACUGGACGUCCGGAGGGUUCGACCCUUCUGAGUGUCUCAGCUAACGCAUUAAGUGCUCCGCCUGGGGAGUACGGUCGCAAGACUAAAACUCAAAGGAAUUGACGGGGGCCCGCACAAGCGGUGGAGCAUGUGGUUUAAUUCGAUGCAACGCGAAGAACCUUACCUACUCUUGACAUCCUUGGAAAGCCAGAGCUUCUGCGAGCUUGCUCAAGGACACUAUCACAGGUGAUGCAUGGCUGUCGUCAGCUCGUGUCGUGAGAUGUUCGGUUAAGUCCGAUAACGAGCGCAACCCCUAUCCUUAGUUGCCAGCACGUAAUGGUGGGGACUCUAAGAAAACUGCCCGGGAUAACCGGAAGGAAGGUGGGGUCGACGUCAAGUCAGUAUGUCCCUUACGUCCAGGGCUACACACGUAAUACAAUGGGAAGUACAGAGGGUAGCAAAACUGCGAAGUGGAGCCAAUCCCAAAAAACUUUCCCAAGUUCAGAUUGCAGUCUGCAACUCGACUGCAUGAAGCAGGAAUCGCUAGUAAUCGCGCAUCAGCAUGGCGCGGUGAAUACGUUCCCGGGUCUUGUACACACCGCCCGUCACGCCAUGGAAGCCGGUAGCACCCAACGUCAGUGUCCUAACCUUCGGGAAGGAGCCGCUUAAGGUGAGAUUGGUAACUGGGGCGAAGUCGUAACAAGGUAGCC
This 1475-nucleotide ribosomal RNA is filed under the name uncultured bacterium. RNAcentral's name for it is "bacterial SSU rRNA". It matches the Rfam family "Bacterial small subunit ribosomal RNA". The record is from RNAcentral.